RNAcentral lists this transfer RNA (75 nucleotides) under Spiribacter curvatus. Its description in RNAcentral is "tRNA-Glu (CTC) (tRNA-Glu-CTC-1-1)". It matches the Rfam family "tRNA". Rfam says of the family: Transfer RNA (tRNA) molecules are approximately 80 nucleotides in length. Their secondary structure includes four short double-helical elements and three loops (D, anti-codon, and T loops). The record is from RNAcentral. Lineage: Bacteria; Pseudomonadati; Pseudomonadota; Gammaproteobacteria; Chromatiales; Ectothiorhodospiraceae. RNAcentral also lists the same sequence under 4 other names.
GCUCCCAUCGUCUAGCGGUAAGGACGCCGCCCUCUCAAGGCGGAAACCGGGGUUCAAAUCCCCGUGGGAGCACCA